RNAcentral lists this ribosomal RNA (490 nucleotides) under uncultured bacterium. RNAcentral's name for it is "partial 16S ribosomal RNA". It matches the Rfam family "Bacterial small subunit ribosomal RNA", at positions 29 to 507 of the family's 1533-position model. The record is from RNAcentral.
AGUGAACGCUGGCGGUAGGCCUAACACAUGCAAGUCGAACGGCAGCACAGUAAGAGCUUGCUCUUACGGGUGGCGAGUGGCGGACGGGUGAGGAAUACAUCGGAAUCUACUUUUUCGUGGGGGAUAACGUAGGGAAACUUACGCUAAUACCGCAUACGACCUACGGGUGAAAGCAGGGGAUCUUCGGACCUUGCGCGAUUGAAUGAGCCGAUGUCGGAUUAGCUAGUUGGCGGGGUAAAGGCCCACCAAGGCGACGAUCCGUAGCUGGUCUGAGAGGAUGAUCAGCCACACUGGAACUGAGACACGGUCCAGACUCCUACGGGAGGCAGCAGUGGGGAAUAUUGGACAAUGGGCGCAAGCCUGAUCCAGCCAUACCGCGUGGGUGAAGAAGGCCUUCGGGUUGUAAAGCCCUUUUUGGGAAAGAAAAGCAGCAGGUUAAUACCCCGCUGUUCUGACGGUACCCAAAGAAUAAGCACCGGCUAACUUCGUG